Long non-coding RNA from Silurus meridionalis, 2566 nucleotides. RefSeq lists it as uncharacterized. The record is from RefSeq and is a predicted model, not a curated record. NCBI's taxonomy places the organism in Eukaryota, Metazoa, Chordata, Actinopteri, Siluriformes, Siluridae. The transcript is spliced from 14 exons.
UGUGGGUGUGUUUGCAGUGUGCAGAGUAAACGAGUAAAAAACGCUGUGCAGUCAUGUCUCCGGUUCUUUCUGCGCAUGCUCCGAACUUAAUGGGAUAAUAUGUGUUUUAUAGCAUAAUGAUGCAAACAUAACAUUAUUUACAUUCAUCACAUUACUGUGCUGGAAAACAAUACAAAUUAAAUAAAAAAGAAGAAAAAGUGUAGAAGAAGAAAAGCGGGACAAAGACAGAGUAUUGGGUGACCUACGUUCCUGUGGUGGUGAACAUGACUGCGAGUUCUCCAGAAGAACAAAUGCUGCCUGACUUUAAAAUCCCACCCCUGUCUGGCCUGCACUUCCUCCCUCACUCUGCCCUGUCUUUCCCUCCUGCAUUGCCUGAGUUUCUCUCACCCACAUUACUUCACCUACAUUACCAUACCUAACUGUGCUAUAUGGGAUGUUCUACUAUAAUGAUCAGGCCGUGUACAACCAGACUCCAUUCCCAAUGGUCCCUCCACUGCAGCAACAUCCAUCUACCAAGAGGAAGAGGAAAACGAUGAACAGCUUGAGAGUUAUUCAGUAAAAUCUGCUGCAUUAGAUGGCGCUAAAAAGUCUACCUCUUCAGCUGAGCCCGGUCCUGCACAAGCCGUCACACCAAAGCCAGAUAAAACAGAGCCUGUGCACGUGCCCCCAGAGGUUCCAGCUUCUGCUCUAUUCACCAUCGAUGAGCCGAAACAGACACGGCUCCUCGUCCUGACGACUCCCGAUCGCUCAGAGAGGAUAAGCCAGAGCUCGCUUUCCAGCAGUCUGACUUUGACCUUGAGCCAGUCUCAACCACAGUCGAGAAUUCCAGUGUGUCUCCUGUGAUUGUGGAGCAUCUGACUUAAGCAGAAACACCAGCAGAUGAGAUCGAAGCGCAGGAAGCCGAGCCGCCGAAGAACGAACCUGAGCCCGGCUCUGAGGAUGAAAGCAACGAUGGGGUCCUUUCACCUGUCGAAGAGCCCAACAACAGCACCAUGCACAAGCCAGAGAUGGAGAAUAAGAGGAUACAAUAUAGUAGAGACUUUCUUUUGAGCAUUCAGUUCAUGCCUGAUUGUAUGCAGAAACCAGAGGGGCUUCCAUCCAUACCUGGAUGCAGAUAUUAUUUAAAUACAGUCGUGCUGAUGUUGUGUGUUGAGAUUUUCCGGACGGUGCGCGGUUUCCUUAACAAACUGACGGCAGAGAUGUUUAAUCAGCUGAUGAAGCAGGUGAAAGAGAUCCACAUCGACACAGAGGAGCGAUUAAAGGGUGUCGUCAACCUGAUUUUUAAGAAAGCCAUUGAUGAGCCCAACUUCUCCGUGGGGUACAGGGUCAUGUGUAAAUCUCUGGCUGCGUAUUUUCAAGUCAUGAGACCAUGAACACUGUGAGCAUGAACAUUACAAUAGACUUCAACAAGAUCCCUAAAAUCAACAAGUUACCAGCAGAUGAUAAGAUUUAUUUGGGACCGAAUUUCGGGGGACGACGGCUGAACUGGAAGAACGGCUGCGAUGGAGAAACUAGCGCUAGAGCCACAUCCGGAGCAUCAGUAAAACUCGACGCAGUGCCAGACUCGACUACAAACAAGCCUGCGCUAUCAGAGGAGGAAAUGGAGAAACGCUCUAAAUCCAUUAUUGAGGAGUUUCUACACAUAAAUUAUUACAAAGUAAUGAUUUCAUGCAGUGACCUGGACCACGCUGGAGCGAAACCAGAUCACACGUGACCACGUGGGUCAUCUGUUCCAUCAGCUGCUGCAGGCUGGGAUCCUCUCCACAUCUCAGUUUUUUAAAGGGCUCUCAGAAACCCUCGAGAUAGCAGAUGAUAUGGCGAUUGACAUUCCUUAUGUAUGGCAGUACAUAGCGGAGCUCGUUAAUCCUGUGCUUCGGGAAGGAGGAAUCUCUUUGAGAGAAUUAUUAAUUUAAUUUAGCAAACCACUACUUCCUGUGGCAAGAGCCGGCAUAUUAUUUGCAGAAAUAUUGCAGCUUCUCUGCAAACAAAUGAGCCAAAAGGAAGUGGAGGCCUUAUGGAGAGACUCUAAACUGAGCUGGGCUGAUUUUCUUCCUGAAACCGUGGAUGGGAACAACUUCAUUACUGAGCAGCCCUGAUGAAGUCUGAUGACCUGAAGAGGGUGGAGCUGAGACUUCAGACAGCAGACGGACUUCUGAGGAGGAACAUCAGCACCACACGAGAGGUGGCAGCAGGAUGGGGGCAGGUCAUGACGUGGAUGAAACUGUGGACGAAAUCUCCGCGAGACAGAACGCCAUACUGUGAUCCUUGGAGAUUCCAUCGUCCGGCAUGUCUGCGCUACCGGAGUCAAAGGUAAGGUGCACACUCGCUGUUUUCCUGGUGCUCGUGUUCUCGAUGUCGCUGCACAGGUACCCGCGAUCCUGAACGAGAACUUCGGAGCGGUUGUUCUCCAUGUCGGAGCAAACGACACCCGGCUGAGGCAAACAGAGAUCUUAAAGAGGGAUUUCAGGAUCCUGGUGGAGACGGUACGCAGCACAUCACCCACAACGAGGAUCAUAGUGUCAGGACCUCUUCCCACUUACCAGCGAGGGGCUGAGAAGUUUAGUAG